Molecule: ribosomal RNA, 512 nt
Filed under: Peptostreptococcus sp. oral clone BP1-1
Lineage: Bacteria; Bacillati; Bacillota; Clostridia; Peptostreptococcales; Peptostreptococcaceae
Description: bacterial SSU rRNA
Rfam family: Bacterial small subunit ribosomal RNA
Source: RNAcentral
AGAGUUUGAUCCUGGCUCAGGACGAACGCUGGCGGCGUGCUUAACACAUGCAAGUCGAACGUGAUUUUUGUGGAAAGCCCUUCGGGGACGGAAAUGAAAUGAAAGUGGCGAACGGGUGAGUAACACGUGAGCAACCUACCUUACACAGGGGGAUAGCCGUUGGAAACGACGAUUAAUACCGCAUGAGACCACAGAAUCGCAUGAUAUAGGGGUCAAAGAUUUAUCGGUGUAAGAAGGGCUCGCGUCUGAUUAGCUAGUUGGAAGGGUAAAGGCCUACCAAGGCAACGAUCAGUAGCCGGUCUGAGAGGAUGAACGGCCACAUUGGAACUGAGACACGGUCCAAACUCCUACGGGAGGCAGCAGUGGGGAAUAUUGCACAAUGGGGGGAACCCUGAUGCAGCGACGCCGCGUGAGCGAAGAAGGUUUUCGAAUCGUAAAGCUCUGUCCUAUGAGAAGAUAAUGACGGUAUCAUAGGAGGAAGCCCCGGCUAAAUACGUGCCAGCAGCCGCGGU